GCCAGCUUGGCCGAGUGGUUAAGGCGUCCGACUUAAGAUCGGAUACCCGUGAGGGUGCGUGGGUUCGAUCCCCACAGUUGGCA
RNAcentral lists this transfer RNA (83 nucleotides) under Giardia muris. It matches the Rfam family "tRNA". From Rfam's summary of the family: Transfer RNA (tRNA) molecules are approximately 80 nucleotides in length. Lineage: Eukaryota; Fornicata; Diplomonadida; Hexamitidae. The record is from Rfam by way of RNAcentral.